RNAcentral lists this ribosomal RNA (460 nucleotides) under uncultured bacterium. RNAcentral's name for it is "partial 16S ribosomal RNA". It matches the Rfam family "Bacterial small subunit ribosomal RNA", at positions 338 to 795 of the family's 1533-position model. The record is from RNAcentral.
CCUACGGGAGGCAGCAGUGAGGAAUAUUGGUCAAUGGACGCAAGUCUGAACCAGCCAUGCCGCGUGCAGGAAGACGGCUCUAUGAGUUGUAAACUGCUUUUGUACGAGGGUAAACGCAGAUACGCGUAUCUGUCUGAAAGUAUCGUACGAAUAAGGAUCGGCUAACUCCGUGCCAGCAGCCGCGGUAAUACGGAGGAUUCAAGCGUUAUCCGGAUUUAUUGGGUUUAAAGGGUGCGUAGGCGGUCGGAUAAGUUAGAGGUGAAAUCCGGAGGCUCAACUUCAGAAGUGCAUCUGAUACUGUUAGGCUAGAGUGUAGUUGAGGUAGGCGGAAUGUAUGGUGUAGCGGUGAAAUGCUUAGAGAUCAUGCAGAACACCGAUUGCGAAGGCAGCUUACCAAGCUACUUCUGACGUUGAGGCACGAAAGCGUGGGGAGCAAACAGGAUUAGAUACCCUUGUAGUC